UGAGUCACUGGCAAACAUUGAGAGGCGC
RNAcentral lists this non-coding RNA (28 nucleotides) under Homo sapiens (human). Lineage: Eukaryota; Metazoa; Chordata; Mammalia; Primates; Hominidae. The record is from RNAcentral.